This 395-nucleotide ribosomal RNA is filed under the name Marimonadida sp. RNAcentral describes it as "partial small subunit ribosomal RNA". It matches the Rfam family "Eukaryotic small subunit ribosomal RNA", at positions 582 to 975 of the family's 1831-position model. Lineage: Eukaryota; Cercozoa; Imbricatea; Marimonadida. The record is from RNAcentral.
AUUCCAGCUCCAGUAGCGUAUAUUAAAGUUGUUGCAGUUAAAAAGCUCGUAGUUGGAUUUCUGGCUUUAUAGAACUGACCCGCCACGUUAGUGUGUGAGUGUCGGCUUCUAUAUGCCAUCCUUCCACAGAACGUUUCUACUCUUGAUUGAGCCGGAUUCGCAAUGUGGAACUUUUACUUUGAAAAAAUUAGAGUGUUCAAAGCAGGCUUACGCUAUGAAUACAUUAGCAUGGAAUAAUAAUCUAGGACUUUGGUUCUAUUUUGUUGGUUUCUAGAACUGGAGUAAUGAUUGAUAGGGAUAGUUGGGGGUGCUAGUAUUCAGCGGCCAGAGGUGAAAUUCUUGGAUUCGCUGAAGACUAACUUAUGCGAAAGCAUUCACCAAGGAUGUCUUCAUCG